GACGAACGCUGGCGGCGUGCUUAACACAUGCAAGUCGAACGGAAAGGCCCUGCUUUUGUGGGGUGCUCGAGUGGCGAACGGGUGAGUAACACGUGAGUAACCUGCCCUUGACUUUGGGAUAACUUCAGGAAACUGGGGCUAAUACCGGAUAGGAGCUCCUGCUGCAUGGUGGGGGUUGGAAAGUUUCGGCGGUUGGGGAUGGACUCGCGGCUUAUCAGCUUGUUGGUGGGGUAGUGGCUUACCAAGGCUUUGACGGGUAGCCGGCCUGAGAGGGUGACCGGCCACAUUGGGACUGAGAUACGGCCCAGACUCCUACGGGAGGCAGCAGUGGGGAAUAUUGCACAAUGGGCGGAAGCCUGAUGCAGCAACGCCGCGUGCGGGAUGACGGCCUUCGGGUUGUAAACCGCUUUCGCCUGUGACGAAGCGUGAGUGACGGUAAUGGGUAAAGAAGCACCGGCAAACUACGU
Molecule: ribosomal RNA, 467 nt
Filed under: uncultured bacterium
Lineage: Bacteria
Description: partial 16S ribosomal RNA
Rfam family: Bacterial small subunit ribosomal RNA
Source: RNAcentral